GACGAACGCUGGCGGCGUGCUUAACACAUGCAAGUCGAACGGAAAGGCUCCAGCUUGCUGGAGUCCUCGAGUGGCGAACGGGUGAGUAACACGUGGGUAAUCUGCCCUGCACUCUGGGAUAAGCCUGGGAAACUGGGUCUAAUACUGGAUAUGACCUUUCUCCUUAUGGGGUUUGGUGGAAAGUUUUUCGGUGUAGGAUGGUCCCGCGGCUUAUCAGCUUGUUGGGGGGGUGAUGGCCUACCAAGGCGACGACGGGUAGCCGGCCUGAGAGGGUGAUCGGCCACAUUGGGACUGAGAUACGGCCCAGACUCCUACGGGAGGCAGCAGUGGGGAAUAUUGCACAAUGGGCGGAAGCCUGAUGCAGCGACGCCGCGUGAGGGAUGACGGCCUUCGGGUUGUAAACCUCUUUCAGCAGGGACGAAGCGUAAGUGACGGUACCUGCAGAAGAAGCACCGGCUAACUACGUG
Molecule: ribosomal RNA, 467 nt
Filed under: uncultured bacterium
Lineage: Bacteria
Description: partial 16S ribosomal RNA
Rfam family: Bacterial small subunit ribosomal RNA
Source: RNAcentral